This 253-nucleotide ribosomal RNA is filed under the name uncultured bacterium. RNAcentral's name for it is "partial 16S ribosomal RNA". It matches the Rfam family "Bacterial small subunit ribosomal RNA", at positions 524 to 776 of the family's 1533-position model. The record is from RNAcentral.
UACAGAGGUCCCAAGCGUUGUUCGGAUUCAUUGGGCGUAAAGGGUGCGUAGGCGGCGCGGGAAGUCGGGUGUGAAAUCUCGGAGCUUAACUCCGAAACUGCAUUCGAUACUGCGGUGCUUGAGGACUGGAGAGGAGACUGGAAUUCAUGGUGUAGCAGUGAAAUACGUAGAGAUCAUGAGGAAGACCAGUGGCGAAGGCGGGUCUCUGGACAGUUCCUGACACUGAGACACGAAGGCCAGGGGAGCAAACGGG